This 506-nucleotide ribosomal RNA is filed under the name uncultured bacterium. RNAcentral describes it as "partial 16S ribosomal RNA". It matches the Rfam family "Bacterial small subunit ribosomal RNA", at positions 29 to 523 of the family's 1533-position model. The record is from RNAcentral.
AUUGAACGCUGGCGGCAGGCCUAACACAUGCAAGUCGGACGGUAGCACAGAGGAGCUUGCUCCUUGGGUGACGAGUGGCGGACGGGUGAGUAAUGUCUGGGGAUCUGCCCGAUAGAGGGGGAUAACCACUGGAAACGGUGGCUAAUACCGCAUAACGUCGCAAGACCAAAGAGGGGGACCUUCGGGCCUCUCACUAUCGGAUGAACCCAGAUGGGAUUAGCUAGUAGGCGGGGUAAUGGCCCACCUAGGCGACGAUCCCUAGCUGGUCUGAGAGGAUGACCAGCCACACUGGAACUGAGACACGGUCCAGACUCCUACGGGAGGCAGCAGUGGGGAAUAUUGCACAAUGGGCGCAAGCCUGAUGCAGCCAUGCCGCGUGUAUGAAGAAGGCCUUCGGGUUGUAAAGUACUUUCAGCGGGGAGGAAGGCGGUGAGGUUAAUAACCUCACCGAUUGACGUUACCCGCAGAAGAAGCACCGGCUAACUCCGUGCCAGCCGCCGCAGUAA